Molecule: ribosomal RNA, 492 nt
Filed under: uncultured bacterium
Lineage: Bacteria
Description: partial 16S ribosomal RNA
Rfam family: Bacterial small subunit ribosomal RNA
Source: RNAcentral
GAUGAACGCUAGCUCCAGGCUUAACACAUGCAAGUCGAGGGGAAACGACAUCGCAAGCUUGCUUUUGAUGGGCGUCGACCGGCGCACGGGUGAGUAACGCGUAUCCAACCUGCCCAUCACUUGGGAAUAACCUUGCGAAAGUAAGACUAAUACCCAAUGAUAUCCCACGAAGGCAUCGGAAUGGGAUUAAAGAUUUAUCGGUGAUGGAUGGGGAUGCGUCUGAUUAGCUUGUUGGCGGGGUAACGGCCCACCAAGGCAACGAUCAGUAGGGGUUCUGAGAGGAAGGUCCCCCACAUUGGAACUGAGACACGGUCCAAACUCCUACGGGAGGCAGCAGUGAGGAAUAUUGGUCAAUGGGCGAGAGCCUGAACCAGCCAAGUAGCGUGCAGGAAGACGGCCCUAUGGGUUGUAAACUGCUUUUAUAAGGGAAUAAAGUGGGUCACGUGUGACUUUUUGCAUGUACCUUAUGAAUAAGGACCGGCUAAUUCCGUG